Molecule: ribosomal RNA, 164 nt
Filed under: uncultured bacterium
Lineage: Bacteria
Description: partial 16S rRNA
Rfam family: Bacterial small subunit ribosomal RNA
Source: RNAcentral
GUAGGGAAUCUUCCACAAUGGACGCAAGUCUGAUGGAGCAACGCCGCGUGAGUGAAGAAGGUUUUCGGAUCGUAAAGCUCUGUUGUUGGUGAAGAAGGAUAGAGGCAGUAACUGGUCUUUAUUUGACGGUAUCAACCAGAAAGUCACGGCUAACUACGUGCCAC